AAGAUUCUGCACAAUCUGGUGGAUUUCCUUUUCUGUUACUGGUGCCAGUAGUUGCUGUUGUUAGUGCAGGGUUAGUUAGGGUCCAUCUCUGGCCACAGUGAUGUCAAUGCCUGGUAGCUGAGCCGCUGCUGUACCCAGUAACUCUUGGAAGAACUGGGUGAAUUGUUGUUGUAUCUGUUGUGGAUCAGUAAGUUUCAUCUGGUUUUCUGUAAGGAUACAACUCACCUUGUUUCUUGCUUGU
This 241-nucleotide long non-coding RNA is filed under the name Nicotiana benthamiana. RNAcentral describes it as "long non-coding RNA (NBEN_LNC001110)". The record is from RNAcentral. Lineage: Eukaryota; Viridiplantae; Streptophyta; Magnoliopsida; Solanales; Solanaceae.